UACGGAGGGUGCAAGCGUUAUCCGGAAUCAUUGGGCGUAAAGCGUACGCAGGUGGUUUGUUAAGUUGAGUAUUAAAUCUUGAAGCCCAACUUCAAGGCUGUGCUCAAAACUGGCGGACUAGAACCUUUUAGAGGUGCACGGAAUUCUGUGUGUAGGGGUAAAAUCCGUUGAUACACAGAAGAACACCAAAAGCGAAGGCAGUGCACUGGAAAAGUGUUGACACUCAUGUACGAAAGCGUGGGGAGCGAAAAGG
This 253-nucleotide ribosomal RNA is filed under the name uncultured bacterium. Its description in RNAcentral is "partial 16S ribosomal RNA". It matches the Rfam family "Bacterial small subunit ribosomal RNA", at positions 524 to 776 of the family's 1533-position model. The record is from RNAcentral.